UCGGAUUGUAGGCUGCAACUCGCCUACAUGAAGUCGGAAUCGCUAGUAAUCGCGGAUCAGCAUGCCGCGGUGAAUACGUUCCCGGGCCUUGUACACACCGCCCGUCACACCAUGAGAGUUUGUAACACCCAAAGCCGGUGGGGUAACCUUUUGGAGCCAGCCGUCUAAGGUGGGACAGAUGAUUGGGGUGAAGUCGUAACAAGGUAUC
Molecule: ribosomal RNA, 208 nt
Filed under: uncultured bacterium
Lineage: Bacteria
Description: partial 16S ribosomal RNA
Rfam family: Bacterial small subunit ribosomal RNA
Source: RNAcentral